AUUGAACGCUGGCGGCAGGCCUAACACAUGCAAGUCGAACGGUAACAGGAAACAGCUUGCUGUUUCGCUGACGAGUGGCGGACGGGUGAGUAAUGUCUGGGAAACUGCCUGAUGGAGGGGGAUAACUACUGGAAACGGUAGCUAAUACCGCAUAACGUCGCAAGACCAAAGAGGGGGACCUUCGGGCCUCUUGCCAUCGGAUGUGCCCAGAUGGGAUUAGCUAGUAGGUGGGGUAACGGCUCACCUAGGCGACGAUCCCUAGCUGGUCUGAGAGGAUGACCAGCCACACUGGAACUGAGACACGGUCCAGACUCCUACGGGAGGCAGCAGUGGGGAAUAUUGCACAAUGGGCGCAAGCCUGAUGCAGCCAUGCCGCGUGUAUGAAGAAGGCCGUCGGGUUGUAAAGUACGUUCAGCGGGGAUGAAGGGAGUAAAGUUAAUACCUUUGCUCAUUGACGUUACCCGCAGAAGAAGCACCGGCUAACUCCGUGC
This 491-nucleotide ribosomal RNA is filed under the name uncultured bacterium. RNAcentral's name for it is "partial 16S ribosomal RNA". It matches the Rfam family "Bacterial small subunit ribosomal RNA", at positions 30 to 508 of the family's 1533-position model. The record is from RNAcentral.